This 119-nucleotide ribosomal RNA is filed under the name Pteropus alecto (black flying fox). The record is from RNAcentral. Lineage: Eukaryota; Metazoa; Chordata; Mammalia; Chiroptera; Pteropodidae.
GUCUACGGCCAUGCCACCCUGAACGUGCCCAAUCCCAUCUGAUCUCGGAAGCUAAGCAGGGUCGGGCCUGGUUAGGACUUGGAUGUGAGGCCACCUAGGAAGACCAGGUGCUGUAGACA